This 309-nucleotide long non-coding RNA is filed under the name Ricinus communis (castor bean). RNAcentral's name for it is "long non-coding RNA (RCOM_LNC001458)". Lineage: Eukaryota; Viridiplantae; Streptophyta; Magnoliopsida; Malpighiales; Euphorbiaceae. The record is from RNAcentral.
AGCACAGUGGUGGCCGAUGGGUGGAUGCUUCUGACUUGGAGUUCAUUGAAGAUAACAAGAUAAUUGUUUACUCAUCAAAGCAUGGUCAUGCUAGCUUCCCUCAUCCUGGUACUUAUCUUCAAGGGUCAACAAAGCUUGGAAUUGGAGUGAGAAAUGAUGUUGCUCGAAGCAAAUAUUAUAUAGAUUCAAGCACAAAGUAUCAGCUUAUUGCUGCAGAGUAUCUUGGAGAUGGAGUUGUCAAAGAACCAUGUUGGUUGCAGUACAUGAGAGAAUGGGGUCCAACCAUUGUAUAUGACUCACGGUCUGAAG